RNAcentral lists this ribosomal RNA (253 nucleotides) under uncultured bacterium. RNAcentral's name for it is "partial 16S ribosomal RNA". It matches the Rfam family "Bacterial small subunit ribosomal RNA", at positions 524 to 776 of the family's 1533-position model. The record is from RNAcentral.
UACGUAGGGUGCAAGCGUUACUCGGAAUUACUGGGCGUAAAGCGUGCGUAGGUGGUUUGUUAAGUCUGAUGUGAAAGCCCUGGGCUCAACCUGGGAAUUGCAUUGGAUACUGGCAGGCUAGAGUGCGGUAGAGGGUAGUGGAAUUCCCGGUGUAGCAGUGAAAUGCGUAGAGAUCGGGAGGAACACCAGUGGCGAAGGCGACUACCUGGACCAGCACUGACACUGAGGCACGAAAGCGUGGGGAGCAAACAGG